UAGGCUGCAACUCGCCUACACGAAGCUGGAAUCGCUAGUAAUCGCGGAUCAGCACGCCGCGGUGAAUACGUUCCCGAGCCUUGUACACACCGCCCGUCACACCAUGAGAGUCUGUAACACCCAAAGCCGGUGGGAUAACCUUUAUAGGAGUCAGCCGUCUAAGGUAGGACAGAUGAUUAGGGUGAAGUCGUAACAAGGUAAC
Molecule: ribosomal RNA, 202 nt
Filed under: uncultured bacterium
Lineage: Bacteria
Description: partial 16S ribosomal RNA
Rfam family: Bacterial small subunit ribosomal RNA
Source: RNAcentral